RNAcentral lists this ribosomal RNA (395 nucleotides) under uncultured bacterium. Its description in RNAcentral is "partial 16S ribosomal RNA". It matches the Rfam family "Bacterial small subunit ribosomal RNA", at positions 523 to 916 of the family's 1533-position model. The record is from RNAcentral.
AUACGUAGGGGGCGAGCGUUGUCCGGAAUGAUUGGGCGUAAAGGGCGCGUAGGCGGCCCGGUAAGUCUGGAGUGAAAGUCCUGUUUUUAAGAUGGGAAUUGCUUUGGAUACUGUCGGGCUUGAGUGCAGGAGAGGUAAGUGGAAUUCCCAGUGUAGCGGUGAAAUGCGUAGAGAUUGGGAGGAACACCAGUGGCGAAGGCGACUUACUGGACUGUAACUGACGCUGAGGCGCGAAAGUGUGGGGAGCAAACAGGAUUAGAUACCCUGGUAGUCCACACUGUAAACGAUGAAUGCUAGGUGUAGGGAGUAUCGACCCCUUCUGUGCCGCAGUCAACACAAUAAGCAUUCCGCCUGGGGAGUACGGCCGCAAGGUUGAAACUCAAAUGAAUUGACGG